GUUUUCCGUACCCAGAGACCUAGACCGGGCAGGAGGAGGGGAGGAGAGGGGGUGGGAUAAAGUGGCCCCCGUGGACCGCUUCUCUUUGCAAGGGGGAUAACAGAGGGCCUGGCGGAUGGUCGCACGGAGUUUGCCGGAGGUCACCCCAGCCUGUUCGAGCUGUUGGGGACGGGGCGAGGGCCUGGAGCGGGGUCUCUGCAGCCAAACUGGGCACGGCGCGGCGCCCCAAGCUCUCGGGGAAAUCUGGGGGCCGUUGGCAUCACGUCAUUUAGAGCCAAACAGCAGCGGCGAAAAGAAGCAAGAGAGCUAAAAAUACUCCCGCCGGGAGCCGGCCGGAGGAGGGGGGCUGCGGGGCCGAGGGACUUAUUACGCACAUGAAGUUGACUUAGACUUGGGUGCUAAGGUUCCAAACCCCUCUCGGGGGCUGGCAGAUUUGCAGGGCGGACGCCUCGGGCGAUGGGCUGGGAGGAAGCCCCUCGGCUUCACCAGCCUCUGGAGCCCGGUUACGCCGCCACGGGCCCGCCCCGCGCGGGGCAGCCCAAGCCCGGCGCGCCCGGCUCUCUGCUUACGUGACUGGUGGCCACGCCGGAGCCCCGGCACGGGGUAAACAACGAGGUGGCGGCGGCCAGGGCGGCGGGGUGGGGGGUGGGGGGUGGGGCAGGGGGAGGUCUCCGAUUGUCUGCGGGUGCGAAGUGGGGGGCGGGACGCUGAGGAAUCUCCGACCGCCUCCUCCAUACACCUCGCUGGUGAGGGGGGGUGGCUGGGGUAGGGGGGCAAGCCAGGUUUGCCACACACUGCCAACGUGCCCUCAUGGGGUGUACCCCUAGUCAGAGCCAACGCCACGGGACAGACUCCAGAGAACUGGUAGCCGGGGAUGGGGGUAGCUGAAGAAAUCGCGCCCCUCCCCCCUGCAACAAAAGCAAACACACCAAACAAAACCACGUCUUCACCCAGCUCCCCACCAGCUCUGGCUUUUCAGAAACUACCCUCCAGACAAAUGCACACAUAGCUUCCCGCGCCCCAUCCCCCUCCGACCAGCAUGAAUAAUUGCGAAGCGAUUCGGCUGCACAGCCUGCGAUGCGCCUUUCUCGCAACCCAGGCACUCCGGGAAAACAGGCGAGAAGAGAAAGAAAAGAACGCACCACCGACCUCACAACACAAAUCCUCGUUUUGGCCUUACAGCGUCUGCACAAUUGCGCUGCCAACACACGGUUCCUUUAACCCUGAAGACCUGGGGUAUCAGUCAGCAAUGGUGUUUUUGUGUCUGAGGGUUGUUGUGUUGGGUGGGGGGAAGGUUGCAAGAUCUGACACGUUGCAAUCGGGACCUUUCUUCUUUCUUUCUCUCUCUCUCACACACACACGCGCACACGUACACACACACACUCGCGCCUCAUUGAUCUUCCUACUUGUUCGGACACAUUAAACAUCCCGGUUUCCCCCUAUCUGUCGGUCUGUCUGCCUAGUUCCCUUCCUCCUUUUCACAGCUAUUAUUCUGAGGACGGUGCUGGAUACGCUGCACACGCGUGCCCCCGUUAGGGCGCUGAGUCGACUGCCUGGGGAAAGCUGGGUGACCUGGCUGGUAGGGGCAAAAAUGAAACAAAUAAAUACAAAAAAGAAGCCAGGCCAGGGUGGGGUUCCCAGCACACCCCCACCCACGCACUACUAUCCACGUGAAUCUGGGGGUGGGCGGGUGGGGGGAGUAGAAAUCGACCAGGAAGGCGUUUGCCUUGCUUGCCCUGUGCGCUCACUCAAGAGCCGUCUCCCGGAAAAUAAAGAAAAAGCACAGAACAGCCCACACCUUCUUCCCCAACUAUUGUUUCUCAAAGAUCCCAAAGUUUCCUUCUAGCCGCGUCCCCACGGCCAAGUUUCCCGGGCUCAGGACGGCGUGUCCGGGGCGAGCUGCUGGCGUUGCUUGGCCCCGCCGGCCUCCUUCUUUGGGGGGGGGGGGGCGGCGGUGGCACCCCACGGCAACGGACGUGCAGGGGGACUGUGUCCGUAGACGUGAUGGCCUGAGCCCAGUCCUGCUGCUAGAGGGAAGGAAAAAGGCGAAGUAGGAGGGAGAGAGAGAGACAGAGCCGAGCCCACGCCGUGGAGAGCUGUUUGGUUGUUAUUGUUGUAGAACGAGCAACAGAAAAACAACACUUGUCUGCCUGAGAAGGCUCCGGAAAAAAAAAAAAAAAAAAGGAAGAAAAGCGACCUCAAAGAGAUGAGCUCUCGGCUCAGUUGUCAGCAAACAACAACACUCCCCCGCUCCUCCGCUGGGCCAUCCUCCCAGCCCCAGCCCGCCGGAGAGGACAGACCGACGCACCGACAGGCCCCUCUCCCCCUCGCCCGUCUUUGUUACAUCUUUAGCAGCUUUGUGCGUAGCUGGCGGCCUCGAGCAGAAUCUGCACGUUCUGCAGAAAAGUGUUGAUGUGCUUCUCCAUCGAGUUCUCGCUGGUGUUGAAAAUGUCUGAGAAGGGGCACCUGGGCUUGGCCCCAGCGGGGUCCUCGGGCAGGGCCGGGGGCUGGGGCGCGGCCACGGCGGGGGGCACAGCCGGGGGCGCGGCGGGGGCCAGCCCCGCGCCC
Molecule: long non-coding RNA, 2568 nt
Filed under: Homo sapiens (human)
Lineage: Eukaryota; Metazoa; Chordata; Mammalia; Primates; Hominidae
Description: HSALNT0359957
Source: RNAcentral